CAAGUACUCCCUCCGUCCCAAAAUUCUUGUCUUAAAUUUAUCUAGAUACGAAUGUACCAAACCCUAAGAUGUGACUAGAUACAUCCAUAUGUAGACAAAUCUAAGACAAGAAUUUUGGGACGGAGGGAGUAUAAU
Non-coding RNA from Triticum aestivum (bread wheat), 135 nucleotides. NCBI's taxonomy places the organism in Eukaryota, Viridiplantae, Streptophyta, Magnoliopsida, Poales, Poaceae. The record is from Rfam.